AGAGUUUGAUCCUGGCUCAGGAUGAACGCUAGCGGGAGGCUUAACACAUGCAAGUCGAGCGGGAAGGGUAGCAAUACCCUGAGAGCGGCGCACGGGUGCGUAACGCGUAUGUAACCUGCCUUAUACAGGGGGAUAGCCCAUGGAAACGUGGAUUAACACCCCAUAGGACUGGAAUUUCGCAUGGGAAUUCGGUUAAAAUUACGGUGGUAUAAGAUGGGCAUGCGUCUGAUUAGGUAGUUGGUAGGGUAACGGCCUACCAAGCCGACGAUCAGUAGGGGUUCUGAGAGGAUUACCCCCCACACUGGUACUGAGACACGGACCAGACUCCUACGGGAGGCAGCAGUGAGGAAUAUUGGUCAAUGGGCGAGAGCCUGAACCAGCCAUCCCGCGUGCAGGAUGACGGCCCUAUGGGUUGUAAACUGCUUUUCUGCUCCAAGAAACCUGAUUACGCGUAAUCAGUUGACGGUAGAGUAGGAAUAAGCAUCGGCUAACUCCGUGCCAGCAGCCGCGGUAAUACGGAGGAUGCAAGCGUUAUCCGGAUUCAUUGGGUUUAAAGGGUGCGCAGGUUGGAAUGUAAGUCAGUGGUGAAAUACUGCCGCUUAACGGUAGAACUGCCAUUGAUACUGCGUUUCUUGAGUAUGGUUGAGGUAGGUGGAAUGUGUUGUGUAGCGGUGAAAUGCAUAGAUAUGACACAGAACGCCAAUUGCGAAGGCAGCUUACUAAGCCAUUACUGACGCUGAGGCACGAAAGCGUGGGGAUCGAACAGGAUUAGAUACCCUGGUAGUCCACGCCGUAAACGAUGAUCACUCGCUGUUUGCGAUAUACAGCAAGCGGCUGAGCGAAAGCAUUAAGUGAUCCACCUGGGGAGUACGAUCGCAAGGUUGAAACUCAAAGGAAUUGACGGGGGCCCGCACAAGCAGUGGAGUAUGUGGUUUAAUUCGAAGCAACGCGAAGAACCUUACCAGGGCUUGACAUACCUCUGACGUAUCUAGAGAUAGGUAUUUUCUUCGGAACAGAGGAUACAGGUGGUGCAUGGUUGUCGUCAGCUCGUGUCGUGAGAUGUUGGGUUAAGUCCCGCAACGAGCGCAACCCCUGUUGUUAGUUGCCAGCAUGAAAGAUGGGCACUCUAGCGAGACUGCCGGUGACAAAUCGGAGGAAGGUGGGGACGACGUCAAAUCAUCAUGCCCCUUAUGUCCUGGGCUACACACGUACUACAAUGGCUAUUACAACGGGAAGCUAAAGCGCAAGCCGGAGCAAAUCCCAAAAAAUAGUCCCAGUUCAGAUUGUGGGCUGAAACCCGCCCACAUGAAGUCGGAAUUGCUAGUAAUGGCAGGUCAGCAUACUGCCGUGAAUACGUUCCCGGGCCUUGUACACACCGCCCGUCACACCAUGAGAGUCUGCAACGACCCGAAGUCAGUAGUCUAACCGCAAGGAGGGCGCUGCCGAAGGUGGGGCCGAUGAUUGGGGUGAAGUCGUAACAAGGUAACC
RNAcentral lists this ribosomal RNA (1488 nucleotides) under uncultured bacterium. RNAcentral's name for it is "bacterial SSU rRNA". It matches the Rfam family "Bacterial small subunit ribosomal RNA". The record is from RNAcentral.